AACGAACUCUGGUAUUGAUUGGUGCUUGCAUCAUGAUUUACAUUUGAGUGAGUGGCGAACUGGUGAGUAACACGUGGGAAACCUGCCCAGAAGCGGGGGAUAACACCUGGAAACAGAUGCUAAUACCGCAUAACAACUUGGACCGCAUGGUCCGAGCUUGAAAGAUGGCUUCGGCUAUCACUUUUGGAUGGUCCCGCGGCGUAUUAGCUAGAUGGUGGGGUAACGGCUCACCAUGGCAAUGAUACGUAGCCGACCUGAGAGGGUAAUCGGCCACAUUGGGACUGAGACACGGCCCAAACUCCUACGGGAGGCAGCAGUAGGGAAUCUUCCACAAUGGACGAAAGUCUGAUGGAGCAACGCCGCGUGAGUGAAGAAGGGUUUCGGCUCGUAAAACUCUGUUGUUAAAGAAGAACAUAUCUGAGAGUAACUGUUCAGGUAUUGACGGUAUUUAACCAGAAAGCCACGGCUAACUACGUGCCAGCAGCCGCGGUAAUACGUAGGUGGCAAGCGUUGUCCGGAUUUAUUGGGCGUAAAGCGAGCGCAGGCGGUUUUUUAAGUCUGAUGUGAAAGCCUUCGGCUCAACCGAAGAAGUGCAUCGGAAACUGGGAAACUUGAGUGCAGAAGAGGACAGUGGAACUCCAUGUGUAGCGGUGAAAUGCGUAGAUAUAUGGAAGAACACCAGUGGCGAAGGCGGCUGUCUGGUCUGUAACUGACGCUGAGGCUCGAAAGUAUGGGUAGCAAACAGGAUUAGAUACCCUGGUAGUCCAUACCGUAAACGAUGAAUGCUAAGUGUUGGAGGGUUUCCGCCCUUCAGUGCUGCAGCUAACGCAUUAAGCAUUCCGCCUGGGGAGUACGGCCGCAAGGCUGAAACUCAAAGGAAUUGACGGGGGCCCGCACAAGCGGUGGAGCAUGUGGUUUAAUUCGAAGCUACGCGAAGAACCUUACCAGGUCUUGACAUACUAUGCAAAUCUAAGAGAUUAGACGUUCCCUUCGGGGACAUGGAUACAGGUGGUGCAUGGUUGUCGUCAGCUCGUGUCGUGAGAUGUUGGGUUAAGUCCCGCAACGAGCGCAACCCUUAUUAUCAGUUGCCAGCAUUAAGUUGGGCACUCUGGUGAGACUGCCGGUGACAAACCGGAGGAAGGUGGGGAUGACGUCAAAUCAUCAUGCCCCUUAUGACCUGGGCUACACACGUGCUACAAUGGAUGGUACAACGAGUUGCGAACUCGCGAGAGUAAGCUAAUCUCUUAAAGCCAUUCUCAGUUCGGAUUGUAGGCUGCAACUCGCCUACAUGAAGUCGGAAUCGCUAGUAAUCGCGGAUCAGCAUGCCGCGGUGAAUACGUUCCCGGGCCUUGUACACACCGCCCGUCACACCAUGAGAGUUUGUAACACCCAAAGUCGGUGGGGUACACCUUUUAGGAACCA
RNAcentral lists this ribosomal RNA (1422 nucleotides) under Lactiplantibacillus plantarum. Its description in RNAcentral is "bacterial SSU rRNA". It matches the Rfam family "Bacterial small subunit ribosomal RNA". The record is from RNAcentral. Lineage: Bacteria; Bacillati; Bacillota; Bacilli; Lactobacillales; Lactobacillaceae.